This 506-nucleotide ribosomal RNA is filed under the name uncultured bacterium. RNAcentral describes it as "partial 16S ribosomal RNA". It matches the Rfam family "Bacterial small subunit ribosomal RNA", at positions 30 to 523 of the family's 1533-position model. The record is from RNAcentral.
AUUGAACGCUGGCGGUAGGCCUAACACAUGCAAGUCGAACGGCAGCACGGGAGAGCUUGCUCUCUGGGUGGCGAGUGGCGGACGGGUGAGGAAUACAUCGGAAUCUACUUUUUCGUGGGGGAUAACGUAGGGAAACUUACGCUAAUACCGCAUACGACCUACGGGUGAAAGCAGGGGAUCUUCGGACCUUGCGCGAUUGAAUGAGCCGAUGUCGGAUUAGCUAGUUGGCGGGGUAAAGGCCCUCCAAGGCGACGAUCCGUAGCUGGUCUGAGAGGAGGAUAAGCCACAAUGGAACUGAGGCACGGUCCAGACUCCUACGGGAGGCAGCAGUGGGGAAUAUUGGACAAUGGGCGCAAGCCUGAUCCAGCCAUACCGCGUGGGUGAGGAAGGCAUUCGGGUUGUAAAGCCCUUUUGUUGGGAAAGAAAUCCAGCUGGUUAAUACCCGGUUGGGAUGACGGUACCCAAAGAAUAAGCACCGGCUAACUUCGUGCCAGCCGCCGCAGUAA